UUAUUGAAGAAAUACAAGCUUUAAAGCUUAUAGUCAAACACUUGUGUCCAAAUGUUGUAGUACAACAAUAAAAACCAGAGCAACUUGAUCGACCAUGUUAGCAUAUUUUGGAAGUAUAGAUGGGUCAUGAUAAGGAUAAUGAGGGUCACCAGGUGAAUCUCCUUAAAUACAACUACCGACAUGAAUUCUAACACUAAUGACAUCUUUAAACACCUUAUCAUAAUUUUUCAUCUUUAAAAAAUAUGGAGUAACCUCAAGCAGGCGUGCAAUUGCAUCAAAAUGAACUAAACAUGCAUGAUAAUGAUAUUUUGCUUCAGCAUCACCACCAUCAUCUUUAAAAAAUAUGGAGUAACCUCAAGCAGGCGUGCAAUUGCAUCAAAAUGAACUAAACAUGCAUGAUAAUGAUAUUUUGCUUCAGCAUCACCACCACUUUUUGAGAUUAGCUUGUUGAGUAAAUUUAUGGUGUUGGUUGUGUUGGCUAAUGUUACGUCAAUUGUGUAUUGUGCAAGGCUAACGAGAUCUUGACUUGCACCUGCUUUUGAAUUCAGAAGAGUUAAACAAAAUGAAGGAUUUUUUGCUCCCUUACAAAUUGUAUCAACAUCCACAGUUUUGACGGCAUAAGAAGAUGCAACACAUAAAAGAAAAAUUAUUACAACCAAAGAGAAGUGAGCCAUUGUAUUCUCAAUUCUAUUCUCUAAUAGUAUUAUUGGCCAUUCUCGUUCCUAUUUAUAAUUUUAGUUUAUAGAAUUUUCAAAAAAUUAAAAAUAAUAACAUAAUUGGAGGGAUAUAAUGGUAAGUUACAUUAACUCUCAAGGGUAAAAGGUAUAUCAAUUUGUUCUUUUUUUUCCUCUCAAAGUUACAUCCAAACUAAUGUGCAUUAAGUGCUCAAAAUAUAGUAUGAAACUUUUGAAUGAUUUAAAAUUUAUGCACAACGCUUCAUGACUUAAAAAUUUUGAACACUUAGAAUUUUUUUUUUGAAUGUAAGAAAAGAUUUAUGGAAGAGGUAAAUAUGAAUUUGUUGUUCCUUUGGUUGACUGAUUUAGGUAAAACAACAUGUGCAAAAUAAGAUGAAUUUGUGAAGAGGAAACAUGUGGGGCAAGAUGUUCUACCAUGUGUGCAAUGUUUAUCCUCAGUCUGGAAGACGAAUUCAAUGAGUAAAUAUGAACAUGUUUUUUAUUGAUUCCAAUAAGAUUUGUCAUUUAACUGUUGUAUCUUUUAGCAAUAUGUUUUCAAAGAAGAUUGGCUACAAAUAUUUUCCAAGACCAAAACACCAAAUCAAAUUAAAUGAGAUCAAAUCUUAAAUAUAAAGACACAUGUAGUAUUAGGAAGUAGGCAUUAGACAAGGUUUGUCCAUCUAAGAGUAAUUGUACUAAUACUAUUGAGCGUGAAUUUUCUUUAUGGGGUUGGAAGCCCCCCAGACAUAGGCGACGUUGCACUAAAUUUGGUUAACAAUUCUCUUUUGUUACUUAUUUUUUUCCCUUAAAUUCCUUUGUUUGUGAGAACAUGUUAUCAAUUGUUUAUUGUAGUACACAUUGUAAACGCCUCAGACUACUUUCAAGAUUAUCAACUGAUCCCACUGUUUACCAUGAAAAUCGGAAAACAUCCGCUGAUCUUCCAAAUUUCUAAAUUUGGUUACUUACAGGAUCGAUCAGAUUGAUCCUAUGACAUGUGCUAAUUGUUUUUGAAAAUGAAAUUUGGUAGUAACGAAUGCUCAAUAAUAAGCAACAAAUCAAAGUUUGAAAACUAAUAAAAAAAGGUGAUGUGAACGAAAGAAAUCGUAAAGGAUUUAUAAAUGACAAAGUAAAUGUCGAAAGUGCAGGAAUCUUAAAAUUGUAAAGUAAGUGUUGAAAGCAGGGAAAAAUAAUGAAAUCUUAAAACUGCAAAGGAAAAAGUAAAAGGAAGGUGUUUGAAAUGAAGAAGUAAGGAUGUAUAUUUCUGGAAAAAAAGUAAAUACAAAUUUAUAUUGCUUUGAAAUAACUAACAAAGGUGUAGUCAACAAACAUUCUGUGCUUUACGAUUCUUCUUCACACGAAUACUUGGUAAAUUUACAGAUUCUUAUAUACAAUUUGACACACCCUUUUCUAACACUAAGACCCUAUAUUUAUAAUGUAUCGAGAUAACCGCUUUUAUGGUUCUUCAAUCACGUCGAGACACAUGGCGCCUUGCAUGCGCACAUUCAUCCACUAUGCUCCACGUGUGCUCUCACGGUUUUUGAUGAAGGCAAUGUUCCCUCCCUUAUUUUAAUUUUGAAUCUUUGAUCGAAAACCGUUUUCAACCAUUUCUUUAAAAAAUCCCUCUAGAGUAUCAGAUGUAUGCUUGAUCCUUAUUCACCUAGCCCAGUCGAUUCACCUCCAGCUGGUCGAAUACUACUUCCUGGUCGUAAACAGUUGCGCAUAUAAUUUCCAAUUUUGGUAAUUCUUAAUGGGCAUAAAAAAUAUGAGCCAACAAAUUGCCCCACAAAAAAUGGUAUUUUCGACAUGUGUGAGAAAAUACAUUUUUUGAGACCCUGCCUCGAUGCCUCGAUAACUCUGACAUUGUGCCAGAUGUCUCAAUGUUAGUAGAACUUUUCAGCUUCUUCAACUUGUCUAGUGACGUUAGAGUCAUCAUUGCCUUUUUCCUACCCACAUCUUUUUAGCCCACAACCGAAUCUUUUUUACUCAUCACGUUUCGUAGCUUCUAGGAAAUCGUGGGCUACAACAUUAAUUGUCAUCUCCAUUACACUGCACAAGGGAUACACGUGUCCCACUAACUAGUCCCCCAUUAAUACUGAUUUGAAAUGCUCUCUCUUCCAAGCAUGCCUAUAAAACACAUUUUCUUACUCAUUUCACAUUUUUCUUAUGCUUUCUGAAUCUCCAAGCACUCUAGACCUCUUUUCUUCAAAUAUGCUUUAACUAAACCCAUAUUUCCUUCAAACCCUAACAAUGACAACCUUAAGCAAAGCUCAUAAGGGAACAAGGGUCUCUGCCAAAACCACCGCGAAUAGGACCAAAGCUCCUAAAAAGAUCUUUGAACUUCCUCCAUUCGCUACGCUGUCUGCUCCAUUCGCGGUUGGCAACCGACAAUACAUACCAGAGCCUCAAAUAGAAGAACAACGCAAAAUUUACGCUUCUUAGGUAAUUAUUCUUGUUUCUGUUUCUAAAAUAACUUAUGCAUUAUCUGGGACCUUAGUUGAUUUAGAUGCUGAUGCUAGUAAGCUUAGAGGAUUUUUCCCCUCUUACCAUAAAUGCAAACCUAUAGGGCAGGCUAGAAACCCUAGAACUGAAACUACCUCCACUGAAAACCCUUAGGCUGGGGAUACUAUAGAUCUGAGGUUUGUGAAUAAUGGUUUUAGAGCCUUCUGUGCUACUCCCACCUUUAAAGAUUCUACUGAUUACCUAAACUGGUUAACCAAAGUAGAGAAAGAGAAAUCCCAAGCUUGGAAAGACAUAGGAAUAUAUGACCUGAUUAUGCUGUCGAAACUGAAUUUAGAUUACAAUACUCCCAUGUUGAUAUCCUCGUUGUACUUCUGGGAUAAUACACAUUAUACCUUCCACCUUCCUUGUGGUAUGGUCGCACCAACCCUCUUUGACAUGGCCGCCAUCACAGGGCUGGAGCCCACUAGAUAUACUUAUGAUCCUGACAUCGAUUUUAUGGAUACCAUCGCCUUUUCAACCACCAGAUCAGCGUACUCAACACACAUUGUGCAUUACCAUGAUAAAGAUAUUGACGUUGUCUCUGACGUGAAACACAUAGUUUUUUGGCUUUGUGGUUGUCACAUUCUGUUUUUUGUUCGAAAUCCCUACAUGUUGCCAAGAAAUAUCUUACUUUGGCGGUAUCUUAGGGCAAAAAAUUAGGUCUUUAAAUUUAAGUCUCUCCAAUCUUGUCGAGACGAAGAUUUCAACCUUCAUAUCUCCAAAUUGAAGAAACUUAAAUAAGGGCAUCUGUGAUACCCUUAUUUUUAACCCUAAGAUCCCACAUCUCAUUUGCAUCUUUGGCAUACAAACAAGGUCACAUCUUGGCCCUCCCCUAUCCAUAUUUGGGUUUGCGUUUUGCAGGGAUCACCAAGCACCUCUUUGUUUACCUUUGUAUAUAUAUGUUCAUUGCUUAUCUAACCACUAAUAUAAAUACCAAAAAUAUGUCUUGAUUCUCUUGAGUUUAUUGUGCAAGGUAGGGCUUUUCAAAUCAAGAGUAUCUCAACGUUUUGUGGCUUACUUCUCAAGAAAAGUCAUAGGUUCAUGUGUUUAUUUCCAUGCCUUCUUCAACAAGUAACUUCAAGAUUUGAGAAAUUAAAUCAAGAGACCAUCAAGGAUAACUUAUUUUGAUUUGAUAUGAUCACCCAUGUGCUUUGAAGUGCAACCAAAAUCCAAGUGCACAAGCUUGUUCCAAGUGGUUUGACAUAAAAGUCAAUAUUUUUAAGUCAAAGUUCCAAGAAUCAUAACUCCUUCAAUUUUUAACAUUUUUAAUGCCCCUUUUUCCUUAUGACUCUUAUCAACAUCCUAUACAACUUAUUUUUACUUAACAAGAGUCGAUUAUGCUUGGAGGAUCAUCAAACGUUUGGAGACAUUAUAGGUCAUUUGACCUAUUUUCAAGUGACUUUUUGCCAACUUUCAAGGAUCAUAACCUCUUUAAUUUUCAACAUAUGGAGCUGAUUAUUUCUGCAAAAUGUCAUCUGAUACCACUGAAGGAGAAGAGCAAUCCAAAAUGCAGCAGAAUUUAAAAAAAAUUCUCCUUUAGUGAUCCUUACGAAUGGGCAUGAUCAGUGAUAGAAUCGUUACCUCUUGUGGCGAUUGUAAGCUUUGAUGCAGAUCUACGGAGCGAUCACGAACGUUGAACGAUGACAAUGCCUCUACUCAGUCGACAGGAAUGGAUUCCUUCAAUCUCAGUGCUAGCUGCUAUGAAUGAAGGCUUUGAGUGAGAGAGAGAAACGAAAUUGCAACUGCUCAAAUGCUUCUGCACAAGGGUUCUAUUUAUAGAACCACUUGUGUGGGCUGCAAGCUAAAAAUCCCACUUAAGUGUAUGUGGCCAAUAUCUUAUAAUAUGCCAAAAUCACUUAAGUGCGUGGUACCUUACCAUAUUUCGUAUUCUACUUAAGUACACCAUACCUUACGAUGUUAUACAAUUCACUUAAGUGCACCGUACCUUACGGUGUUCCUUAGUUACUCUAUCUCUCAUCAAUCCGUCCUUUUGUGUGUGACCCUCUAAGUUUUCGUGGCAUUGGAAAUUAUAUUAAAUCACAUAUUUAACAUAAUAAACAGUGAGCGGUAUCUAGCAACACAUCACUACUACCCAAGACAUGAAAAUUUCAUGUGAUUUGACAAAUCCUUUUGUGAUAAUACUUAUGUGUAUAAAUACCCUUUUUCCCUUAUGUCAAUAUUGAACACAAGGCAUAGACCGUGUCAUCCCUGUCCAAUUCAAUAUUGGGCCCAUAGGCAUUUAUCCUGUUACACAGGAUGGGAAAAUUCCAUCUAGGUUACUCAUGUCCCUUAGCAUGCUUUGUAGAGUACCCAUUAACUGUCUUUAUGGUCAUCCAGUUACAGACAAUGUUUGAUCAGCAAUAAGGCCCCCGACUCUACAUCUAGGGUCCAUAGUGGUUUCAGGUCGAAGGGUGGUAUACACCAUUAUCACCAUGAGAAUAACUUAUGACACUUUGCAUAACAUUCUAUGUAGUAUUCUCAUAGCGAGUCAAUCCAGUACAAAUAUUACUCUUACUAUUCAUACCUAUGUUUAAGACUUGAUAACUCCUUAUCCAUGAUCCAUGAGAUGUGAUCAUCAGUCUAUAUACAUAAUAGUCUUAAUGCUUUAAUGUUAUCCCACUUCACAAUAAAGCUCGACUAUAGAUACUUUAAGAAUAAUGUCCUUAUGUUUAAUGUGAUCUCAUGAUUAAGUCACACUUGAUACAUUAAACGAACUAGCUACUUUAGGGACUUUAUUAAACAAACAUAAUAAAGAAAAAGCCUUUUAUUAUUAAUAAAUAAUUCGAUACAAGUACCAAAAGUAUUGGCCUCUAGGGCUUACACCAACAAUAUCUUCAAGGACCAAGGUCAAAAUAUGCUUGGAAGGCCAUUGAAUUCAUUGGGACAUUUUAGGUCAUUUUCAGCCAUGAAGCACUCAAAGUUUUCUCUGUUAUGGAACUAGUUUUUCUUGCCAACUUCAACAUGCCAUAACUUUGUGCUCAAACAUCCAAAUGCAACCCUUAUUGGCUCAUUGUAAUCUUGGCCAUGAUGUUAACAAAUUGCAAGAAGAAUGAGAUUAAAAAGCCUCUUGAGUAGGAUGCCCCAUUGAGUUAAAGAUGGUGACUAGAAACUGGAGAAAUCACCAUUGCCCAAACUUUGCACAUCACUAAUCUCAAUUCCAAGCCAAAUUAGAAAGUGUUUUGGUAUUAAACAUGUUUUAACAAGUCUCCAGUAGUUAAUUGACACUUAAAACACAACAUUUGGCAGAGUUUCGAGGAGUUUCAAGUCACAUUUUUCACACACUUUGAUCAAAUUCGUUUUGCACGAAUUCUUCAUUAUUCCACACGUAUUUAGAUCCAAACACAUUCCCUAUAAAUAGAGGAUGCUAUUGACUUCUUUUGCAAGAAUUGGAGAGCCAAGAAACCCCUACUGCAACUUGAAACUUUUCCAGAAAAUUCAACUAUCGUGUUUUGAGUUUCAGCAUGUUUCAAACCAUUUUCGUGAUUCCAUUAGCUCCAUCGACAUCCUCUAAAAAUUUUGCAACAAUUCCCAAGCUCGGAGACCUUAUAAAGUGUUCUAACCAUAUAGAGCUUCAUCAAAUUCUGAUCACCAUCUGGACAGGUUAGUUCUGAGCGUCAUUUGAACUCAAACAAGUUAGCACUAUGUAGUCCUUCACUCUCUGAUGCUUUCCCCUAACUUAUCUGGUGUUGAUUGAUCGUGUUUCAUCAUUUAAUUUUAUUUUUCGUGGCUUGCUUGUUUUUGAAACUUCUUUGAAAUUCCAUUUGCCCAGUUCACAUAAAUGAAUUUGGAGCACAAGGUUGAAUCCGGGAUGAGAAGAGGAUCACAAUGGUGGUGGUCUCGUGUCUUGAAUUUACCAAACGAUGAAACUCCGGUGAGAGCUCACCAGAGAAGAUGACCGGAGUAUUUCUUAGGUGAUCUGAGUUUCGACCAGGCAUGUUGGCAUUUUGAAAUGUUUUGAUUGGUUAAAUUCAAACUAGAUUUUGUGUUUUGCUUGCAGCGCGUUCCAUCGUGUUUCUCAACAUUGGGUGUGUUGGGUCUGCCACAUCAAUUAAUGAGGCGUGAUCCAACGAUCCUGGUUUUUUCUGAUUUAUUUCUUUUUCUAUUUUAAUUUUUAAAUUUAUUUUUAUUUAAAAAUUCAUAGUAAUUUCAUUAUUUAUCCAAAAAAUCCCAAAAUAAUUUCAUUCUUUAUUCUAAAAAUUUAUUAUAUGUUUCUCAUUUUAUUUCCAAGCUUCCAUAAUUUUCUUGGCCAUUUAUUUGGUGUUUUGAAGGACUUUGUCAAUUUUUCAUUUUAUUUCCAUUUUAAACUCAUUUAAAAAAUACCUUAGAUUCAUUUUUAUUUCCUUUAAUUGCAUUUUAAAUUUCUUCGACCUUGUGGACUUCUAUUGGCCUUGGAUCAUGAUGAUUUUGACUUUAAGUCUCAUCAAACCCAAUGGAUCUGUUAUGUUGAUGGGGUGAAAACCCUAAUCCACCAAAAUGGAUUAUUUAUUUUGAUGGUGACUUGAUCAAAAUUUUGAUCCAAUUUGGGUGUCACCUCUCUUGUCCCCUUCUUCUUCAUCCCCUUCUUUUCCCUUGGAUCAAUUGGAUGGCUUGUGUCCAUCUUGUUCAUGAUGUGUGGAUUGGUACUUGAUGAACUUUCAUCAUUUCAAAUCUACCUUCUAAGUGAUCAUUAAUCAUUUAAGGUACUUUGGGUUGAUGCAUAAGUUUUUCUUAAGUGUCAUGAAGUGUGGAUUGAGGUAAUGGACCAUCCUCCUAGCCUUUGUGUUUGAUCAUCCCAUUUUAUUUUUUUCUUUUCUUGUGUGGCAUGGCAUUAGGAGAAUCAUUUACAUAUCAUUUGUCAAGCAUGUAUUAACACAAAUAUUCUUAUUGACCGACCUCAGAUAGCUGUGACUUCUACAUAAGUUCAAUUACGAUUGCUUAACAUAGCGCUAAAUUUGUCUAGAAAAGGCAUAUUUAGAAGUGAGAUUGUAAGUAUCCUAUUCCUUAUGGUAUUAUGUGGAAAUGUUUUUCUUUUUCCAUUUGUGAGAGCCAAUGGCAUACUUGUUGAUUUUAUCCAAGUUAGAGCCCUUCUCAUAAAUUAUGCCUAGGAUCAUAUUUUCAUGCUUGUGAGUGGAUAGUUGAGUGUUCUCCAAAAAGUGACCAAAACAUCUUUUCAUCUUCACUAAUUUUAUUUACCAACACUUUACUUGUGUUAACUUUUACUUCAAAGUCAUUUACCUCUAUGUCUUUAUUUUAUGCCAUUUGCUUUAUGCUUUAUGAUUAACAUUUCAUAUCAUAUUAUUUGAUUUUAUGUCCUUUUUCUCUUUGCCCAUUUGGACAUUUCUUUUAUAUCAUUGUUAAGAAGACACUAAUAAAAAUAAUCUUGUUUCUCCUAACUCGUGGACUUAUGGUUACUAUCCUUGGCAUCAUUAUGGAGUUAUGGACUUAGGAUUAGGAUCUUGACCUUUGCUUUGGGACAUGCGAUUCUAUGACUUUGGAAUUCAUCUGAUACCUGUGAUUUUGGAGUUCUCUGUGAAGACUUGGCUUGGUUAGUCUAGUUUCAUCUGCUACAUGGAUUAUCAUUUUGCUUAUUUUUUGCUUGCUUGAGGCUUAGUCCAAAGGAGGUAGUUCUUGCUUGACUUAUGUCAUAAAUCUUUCUUUUUCUUGGUUAGAUCUUUCCUCCCUAACUUUUACGUUAUGCUUUAGGAUAGUCUCUUCUUCUCAUCCCUUUCUUAAAUUUUCAAAUCUUCUCCCUCUUUUAAAAACCUUCUUGCUUUCUAACUUGAACCACUUUCUCAAUAAACCUUGACUUUUGUCAAGUGAUUUUCAAAACCUUUUUAUUAAUAAAUUCAAAUCCAUCUUAAGCAUAUUUAGACCAAUUUCAAAAGACUAAAAAAAUGUAUAACUCAUUCAAAUAAUUUUGUGCCUUUGCGAACUUUUCCUUUUAAAACUUUACUCAAGGCAUUAGACAUGAGUCAUUUCCAUAGUUGAGUUAUAAUUCUCCUAUCUCCAUAGUAUUGAUGAUGAUUCUUUUCCAUUUGUGAGAUCUAGUGGCAUACUUGUUGAUCCUUAUCAAAGUUGGAGCCUUUCCCAUGAUUAUGCAAAGUUCUCAUACUUAUGGGUGACUGGUUUAGUAUUCUCCUUAAAAUGACAAAAUGUCUUUUCCAUAAAAAAUGAAUCAAAACAAACUCCUUUUGUUAUCUUUACCACAAACUACAAGAUUUUAAUUCUCCAUUGCACUUUGUUGGUAUGUAGGCAUGAGACUUUCAAAAGUCUUGGCAAACACAAAAAUAAUAAAUAUACUUCUUUUCUCAUCCCUCCAAUAUUUUAAUAAACAACACCUUUUCUAAACCAAAAUUUAAAUAUUUUCAAAGAAAUUCCCAUGGAGUACCAUGGAUGUUUAGGGUUUUAAUACCUUCCCUUUUCGUAAUUAACCCAUGGAACCUUAUUCUCUUUAAUUAGUUUUAUUUUAAAACUUCUUCGGGUUUUGUUCGUAAUUUUUCCAUUUUCCCUUGGAAACAAUAAAAGCAAGAUGGUGACUCUUGCUUUGCGAGAUAAGUUAAUCAAUAGUUUAAUCUCAAAAUAUUUAUCGCUAUAAUCUGUUACUUUUUUUCCUUUUCUAAAAGCAUUCUUAUUUUUUAUUAAAAACAUGGUUUAUAGGUAAGAACCUACGGUGACAGUCAAACCCCUAACUUUUCCCACCCAUUUCCAAAGUAAAUGCUUUUGUGUGUCCCAUGCAACGCGGACAUCCCAUUUUUCCAUGUGUAACCUAACCAAACAACAUGCCAUAUACAAGAAAGUUGUUAAUUGUCCACAUAAAAGCAACUCACAUAUCAAAGUUUUGUUUAUGAAACACAACAUAAGUCCAUCCUCCAAUCCACAACCUCUUAGAUCAUCAAUUAAAUGUUGUAAAUAAACAUCUAUUCCCACCUUUGGGCUCAACGGUCCUAGAAUGAGGCAUGUCAAAAACAUGUAAGGUUUAGUCAUGCAAAUCUCAUGACGGAUGUUGAAUGGGGUAACAACAAUUUUGCCAACAAGAAUAGGCAAUUGCUGGUAAUUGGAUAUAAGGAGUAAAACCAUAUGAACAUAAUCCAAGACUGACAUUUCGGGGUUCUGCUGCAAAAUAUGUAUGUCGCAUCAUGCCUAAACUAGUUGUGUUUGUAUUUUGCCAUGUCAUUUGGCUUGCAUUAUGCAUUGAUGCAAACAUUCUUUGCAACCUAGGUAUUUUUGGAAGAUAGAACAUGGACUUUAAAACAACUCAUUUUUUCUUUAGAUCAACGCCUUUACUGCGAACUACAUACCUUGGACACUUACAAAACAUACAUUCCUCCAAUGUCCAAUUAUUUGUACCAAACUUAUUAUCAUAAAACAACAUGCAAUCUCCUAUGGAACAGUCAAUUUGUGUUGACCACUAGAAGCCUCUUUAUUCAUCUCUGGUAGUUUUUCUCCAUUAUAUGUCCAAAUCCAAUAAUUUGGCCUAAAACUCGUUCUCUCCAAGUAACGUUUCACUUCACUUGGAUCACUAAUUAUAUUAACGCACCUACACUUUAAACACAGACACCCUACCCCUCCUUCACUUCUUCAACAUUCUUUAGCAAACUCAUAUGUGAGAAAACUGACUUCGUCCUUAAAAUAUGGUUUAAGCUUACGUAUUCCUCGAAAUAUUCUAUCAUACAUCCAACUACGAUAGAAUCGAAAAUAUUCAGUACAAUAUUGUUCUUGUUUAAACUUGAUAAAUAAUCGAGGGAUUAAUCUAUUGACAAAUUUUAAAUUUUUUUAUCGAUAACAUCAUACAACUACCAUAUAUUUUUGAAAAGGGAGAUAAUAAUAUAUAUUAUACAUCUACAAAUAUCUAUUCAUUAUACACUUAAUUAAAUAUAAACUUUUAUAUACACUUCAAAUAUAUUACUAAACUAGAAUAUAUUACUAACUAAUACUAAAAUAUAUUACUAAAUAAUAAUAAAAACAUACUAUUUUUAAAAAUAUUAUUUCAAAAAUACUUUAUAAAAACAAUAUAAUACUAAAAUAAAAUAGUAUUUUAUUAUAAUAUUAUAUAUCACAUAAAACUUAAUACUUAUACAAUAAUUUAUAAGUGCUAAUUAUGUUUACUAAAAUAAUAUUAAAAUAUAUUACUAAAUAAUAAUAAAUAUAUACCAAUUUUUAUAUUGUUUUUUAUUUAUUUUUGAAAGUUAAUUUAUACUAUUUUUAAGUAUUAUUUAGAAAUUAAUAAAUAAAAACAAUAUAUAAUAUUUAAAUAAAACAUUAUUUUCUUAUUAUAUAAUUUAUUAUAUAGUACUUAAUAUUUCUAUUAAAAAAAUUAACUGUUCUGUUUACCAAAAUAUAUUAUUAAAUAAUAAUAAUAUUUAAUGUUUUUUAUAUUGUUAUUUGUUAUUUUCAAAAUAUUAUUCAUACUAUUUUAGAAGCUGUUAUUUCAAAAAUAAUAUUAUAUGAUAAAUAAUAAUAAAUCUACAUAUUAUUUAAAAAAUAAUAUAUAAAAGCAGUAUAUUAUAUAAUACAUAAAUAAUAUAUUAUUUCUAAAAUAAUUUAUUAUUUCUAAAAUAAUAUUAAUAAAAUACAUAAUAUAGAAUAUAUAAUAUAUUACUAAUAAAUAAGUAAUACUAAAUAAUAUUUAAUAUAUAAAAGUAAUAUGUUAUAGAAAAACAGUAAGUUAUAAAAUCUUUAUAAAUAUUAUUUAUAAAUAAAAAAAAAUGAUAAAUAAUAUUAAAUAUAUAAUAUAUCACUAAUAUAUAAAAACAAUAUGUUAUAUAAUACAUGAAUAAUAUAUCAUUUCUAAAAUAAUGUGACCAUAAUACAUAAUAUAUAAUCUUAUUCCAAAAAUAAUAUUACCAUAAUACAUAAUACAUAAUAUAUAAUCUUAUUCCAAAAAUAAUAUUAAAUAAUACAUAAUAUAUUAUUUCUAUCAACUAUUAAAAAAUAUAAACUAAUAUUAACUACUAUUUAACCAAUAUCAAGAAAUAACAAUAAAUAUUCAAAGAUUCAUAUAUUCAUAUUUAAAAAAAUAUAAAGAAGAAAUGUGUACCUUGGAUGAAAAAUUAAACGAUUCUAAACUUUUAAUUUUACUCUCCUUACAAAAGUUUAACCCUUUAUAAAAAAAAUGGAAAGUGAACAAAAUAAAUUAAAAUUAGGGGUUUGAUAUAAUCCAAAAAUGAAAAGAAAAAAUAAAUAAGAAAUUUAUAAAAUCAUCUUCCAAAUGACAAGAUUGUUGAAGAUUUUUUGAUGAAAAUAUUAAUUUGGUGGUGGAAGAAUGAGGUUAAUGAAGUGAAAUUCGGUGAAAAUGAAAAACCAGAGAAAGAGAAAGAGAUGUGUUGAAGCGGUGGAAUGGGAAAAUGGAAGGGGCGGUGCAAAUAUAUGGAAUCAUUUUGCGAGGGGGCUCCCCACGUUAGCUAAACGAUCAUAAUUAGCUAGGAGAAGCCCCUCGCAAACUGUAAGGACUUUAUUAAAGCGAAUGACACGUGCUCAGGUGAUGGGAUAAUAUGCAGACCCAUCUCAAAUAUUUCGAGGGGUUGUCCAUGCAAAUGCAACGGAAAUAUAUGGCUAGGGGGCGCGCCUUGCAAAUUAAACAUAUUUAUUAAAGUGAGUGACACGAGGUAGCUAUUAUGGGAUAAGGUGCAGACUGAUCUCAAAACCUCGUGGUGUUGUCAUUCGCAAUUUUUUUUGAAACUAUUAGUUAGGGGUGUCGCAUCUCAAUUGGUCAAUUUUAAAAUUAGUCUUACAUUUAUGAGGGAUUUCCCUACACCAUUUGCUUUAUUAAUUGUAUUUUUAACUUUAUGCAUUGGGAUGUGAUAAACUCCAAAUAAUGUAGAAAUUUAGUGAGGAAUUUUUCACCUUGUAAAUAUCCCUGAUUAAUCAAACAAUUUCUUAUAGUGUAAUCUCGGGGACUGGUUUUAGCUUACUACGUUAGAAAACAAAUAAUCUAAAGAAGAAAAACAUGACAUUCGAGAGAGUAUGUUUUACCUAUCAAUACAAACAAACAAAAUGUUAACUUUUAUUUAACAUGGUUUUAUGGUAAUAAUUUUUAUUUUUAUUUUUGAAAUUAUUUCGUAAAGUAGUAUAUAUAUAUUAAUACAUUUUUUUGUAAUAGUCUAUACUAAUAUAUAAAAGCAAAACAUGAUUUUGGUGUAGUUUUUUUCUUCCAAAUAUACCAUUUUCAAUUUUAUUUUAAAUUUUAACUUCUAUUUUCCACAAACGGCGGUUAUACGACAAUUUAUUAUUUUUCAUAUCAUGUUUAACUACAUAAUUUAAAAUAAAAUUAAAAUUAAAUAAAAGUAUAAUACAAUUUAUAUUGUAUGCGUAUAAAUAUUAGAGAGAGUGAGAAAGUGGAUACACAGACACGUGUCUGUCUGGACGCUAGUAAUAAAUAUAAUGACAACAAAUAAUCUAAAGAAGAAAAAAAUGACAUCUGAGAGAGUAUGUUUUAGCUAUUCAAUAUAAAUAAACAAAUUGUUCACUUUUAUUUAACAUGGUUUUAUGGUAAUGAUUUUAUUUUGUUUUAUUUGUUGAAAUUAUUUGGUAAAGUAGUAUAUAUAUUAAUGCCCUUUAUUGUAAUAAUAAUAAAUAUAAUGACAACUUUGAAAAUAAUAUAUUGACUUAUUUGUUGUAACACAUUAUUGAAGAAAUACAAGAUUUAAAGCCUAUAAUCAAAUACUUGUGUCCAAAUGUUGUAGUACAACAAUAAAAACCAGAGCAACUUGAUUGACCAUGUUAGCAUAUUUUGGAUAUAUAGAUGGAUAAUGAGGGUCACCAUGUGAAUCUCCUGAAAUACAAUUAUCAACAUGAAUUCGAACACUAAUGGCAUCUUUAAACACCUUAUCAUAAUAUUUCAUCUUUAAAAAAUAUGGAGUAGCCUCAAGCAUGUCUGCAAUUGCAUCAAAAUGAACUAAACAUGCAUCAUAAUGAUAUUUUGCUUCAGCAUCACCACCAUUUUUUGAGAUUAGCUUGUUGAGUAGUUUUAUGGUGUUGGUU
This 14132-nucleotide long non-coding RNA is filed under the name Lathyrus oleraceus (garden pea). RNAcentral describes it as "Pisum sativum (pea) long non-coding RNA (PSAT_LNC038425)". Lineage: Eukaryota; Viridiplantae; Streptophyta; Magnoliopsida; Fabales; Fabaceae. The record is from RNAcentral.